RNAcentral lists this ribosomal RNA (253 nucleotides) under uncultured bacterium. Its description in RNAcentral is "partial 16S ribosomal RNA". It matches the Rfam family "Bacterial small subunit ribosomal RNA", at positions 524 to 776 of the family's 1533-position model. The record is from RNAcentral.
UACGUAGGUGGCAAGCGUUGUCCGGGAUUAUUGGGCGUAAAGCGCGCGCAGGCGGUCCUUUAAGUCUGAUGUGAAAGCCCACGGCUCAACCGUGGAGGGUCAUUGGAAACUGGGGGACUUGAGUACAGAAGAGAAGAGUGGAAUUCCACGUGUAGCGGUGAAAUGCGUAGAGAUGUGGAGGAACACCAGUGGCGAAGGCGACUCUUUGGUCUGUAACUGACGCUGAGGCGCGAAAGCGUGGGGAGCAAACAGG